This 99-nucleotide ribosomal RNA is filed under the name Alistipes sp. 58_9_plus. RNAcentral describes it as "partial 16S ribosomal RNA". It matches the Rfam family "Bacterial small subunit ribosomal RNA", at positions 1 to 93 of the family's 1533-position model. Lineage: Bacteria; Pseudomonadati; Bacteroidota; Bacteroidia; Bacteroidales; Rikenellaceae. The record is from RNAcentral.
UUUAUACAAUGGAGAGUUUGAUCCUGGCUCAGGAUGAACGCUAGCGGCAGGCUUAACACAUGCAAGUCGAGGGGCAGCGGGGAGUAGCAAUACUCCGCC